CCAUUGGUGGUUCAGUGGUAGAAUUCUCACCUUCCAUGCGGGAGACCUGGGUUCAAUUCCCAACCAGUGUA
Molecule: transfer RNA, 71 nt
Filed under: Loxodonta africana (African savanna elephant)
Lineage: Eukaryota; Metazoa; Chordata; Mammalia; Proboscidea; Elephantidae
Rfam family: tRNA
About the family: Transfer RNA (tRNA) molecules are approximately 80 nucleotides in length. Their secondary structure includes four short double-helical elements and three loops (D, anti-codon, and T loops). Further hydrogen bonds mediate the characteristic L-shaped molecular structure. tRNAs have two regions of fundamental functional importance: the anti-codon, which is responsible for specific mRNA codon recognition, and the 3' end, to which the tRNAs corresponding amino acid is attached (by aminoacyl-tRNA synthetases). tRNAs cope with the degeneracy of the genetic code in two manners: having more than one tRNA (with a specific anti-codon) for a particular amino acid; and 'wobble' base-pairing, i.e. permitting non-standard base-pairing at the 3rd anti-codon position.
Source: Rfam by way of RNAcentral